This is a long non-coding RNA of Alnus glutinosa, 693 nucleotides long. RefSeq lists it as uncharacterized. Lineage: Eukaryota; Viridiplantae; Streptophyta; Magnoliopsida; Fagales; Betulaceae. The transcript has 3 exons. The record is from RefSeq and is a predicted model, not a curated record.
CUCUCUUCCUUUCUAUUCUUUUUCUUCUUCAUUCUUUUUUUUCUUCUUUUUGUUCUUCAUUCUUCCACCUUGCCGAGCAUAGAGCGAGAGAGAGAGAUGUCAAGAGAUUGAGAGGGAGAGAUCAGAGAGAGUGAGAUCGAGAGAUUGAGAGAGAUGAGACUCGGGAGAGAGAAAGGAAAGACCCAAGAGCCAAAGGGAGCCGGAGAUGGAACCUGAGUGCCCAUAGCCCAAGGGAGGUCCGAUCCUCCAUGUCUGGUGGCCAGAAGCCAAUUUCCGGUGGGCCAAGUGUUUUCCGACCGAACUCGGAAGAGAGAGAACCCGAUGCAACCUGUAACCCAAUUGGUGAGACCCGAUUUCCCGAUCGAUUUCCGGCAAGUUUUUCGGCGAAAUCAAAGGCGAUUUCUGAUGGGUUUUUGAAGAAAAUCCCCAAGAUGAUGAACUGAGGCUGCGAAAAAGGGCUAUGUUUGCGCAGGUUCUGAAGAUUAUGGAUUGGAUUAACUGCUAGCUUAUAAGUUCUAAAGCUAUGUAGUUAGGAUUUUAGUACUUUGUACUUAUAAAUGUUUGUACUAUUUUGUAUGUAACAUGUUUUAGGAAUUUACUUGUAUUUAGUAAGUUUCCAUGUAUGAUUUCGUGUCAUAUGUGACACGUAUUUCAUUUUAAUUAGUUUAAUGAAAAUUAAAGGAUUUUUAAUAU